Molecule: non-coding RNA, 182 nt
Filed under: Gammaproteobacteria bacterium
Lineage: Bacteria; Pseudomonadati; Pseudomonadota; Gammaproteobacteria
Description: 6S RNA
Rfam family: 6S / SsrS RNA
About the family: E. coli 6S RNA was the first non coding RNA to be sequenced, but its function was unknown until recently. It consists of 184 nucleotides that fold into an extended hairpin structure with a large single-stranded internal bulge. The 6S RNA specifically associates with RNA polymerase holoenzyme containing the sigma70 specificity factor.
Source: RNAcentral
UAUCUUCUGUCGUGUUCGUGAACAGGCCGACAGAAACUUGAGCUUAUUUCCUGUAAAAAAGGGAGCUGACCGCGUUAUUGUGUGCAAGCCUGCUUGAAGCAGGAAGCCUGAUAUAACGUCCGCUGUUCCCACUUGAACCUCUGGUUCAAGUUUAACGCCUGUCACGGCACGACGGUUGAUAC